GUUCUAGGACUUACUUCCUGUUAAGAUGCUUCUGAUACUUGUUGUUUAGUUCAGAGUUUGACUUUCUUGAACUUGUUUCUUCUUCAGAGCUUCUGAUCAUUUGAUAAUAUACUUCUGAUCUGGUACUCUAUCUGAUGAUGUCAUCAGAGUCCUGCACACUUAGAAACUUUUCGUUAGGGUGCCAUUUUUGGUUUCAUCCUUUGUUAUCAUCAAAAUCAAGGAAUCUGUUGUAUCACAAUUUUUGUUCUUACAAUCUCCCCCUUUUUGAUGAUGACAAAACAACUUUAAUUAGCAGAUGAAACAUGAAUAAAAAUAGAUCAGAUAGACAGAAGCUCCCCCUGAGAUAGUACUAGGGAGUUCAGAGGUUCUGAAGUUCUUACCAGAGUUUCUUAAGUAAAGAGGUUUCUGAGAUUUUCUGCAAUUUCUUAAGUCCAAGUUAGAUAAUUUUGUUUAUAUAAAAAAAAUGUUGCAGAAUGCUUGAUGGUUUUAGACAAUAUUUUCAUCAGAGCUAAUAAUUACUUUCUCCCCCUUUUUGUCAGAAUCAAAAAGACAUAGUAAAAAAAAGUAAAGAGAAAAAAAAAAAGAUAAAGAGAAAAACUUAAAAUUCAUAGAUAGAAGCACAAAGGCAACAAACAAAACAUCAGGUUCAAAAGAACAAGAAAAACAUCAGAGUCAAAAGAAGACAGAAGCAAAAACAAUAGGCAAGCAAAAUAAAUCCUAAGUGCCUAAGGGUUCGGAGGCGGAGGCAUUCUCUGAAGCAGCAUAGCAAGC
This 771-nucleotide long non-coding RNA is filed under the name Lathyrus oleraceus (garden pea). Its description in RNAcentral is "Pisum sativum (pea) long non-coding RNA (PSAT_LNC014344)". Lineage: Eukaryota; Viridiplantae; Streptophyta; Magnoliopsida; Fabales; Fabaceae. The record is from RNAcentral.